Molecule: long non-coding RNA, 727 nt
Organism: Drosophila kikkawai
Lineage: Eukaryota; Metazoa; Arthropoda; Insecta; Diptera; Drosophilidae
Source: RefSeq, a predicted model, not a curated record
AUAAAAAGGCAUUCUCUGCGGAAUUUUCUUAAAGAUAUUUUCUUUUGGUGCCCUUAGAUUUUGGUUUUAAUUAUAUAUGUGGGGUUGGGGUUUUUAUUUAAGUUUACGGGAAAUUAGUAGUUUAAAGUAUGAGUUUUUUUAUGAAGAUCUCUCUAUAUAUCAGGCCCUCAAAGCUUAAUUUCGUUUGCUUGGAAUACAAGACUGCUUUGACUUUACAAUCAGAGUCGCAUCACAUCGAUUAAUAUACUUUUGACCUUGUGCUAACCGGUCAAGCAUUGUACUGUAAAACAAAAAGAGUUACUAAUUCUUCACGAUAUUGAAGACCUGGUCGCGCCUAUUUGUAACCAUGAAAAGCAUGCACACGAUUCUCGUCUAUGCCGUGAUCGGGGUUCUGACCCUGAUCAUCGUCAUCUUAUCAAUCAUACUGAUCGUAGGAUUAUUUAUUCCCAUGAAAAAGGACGACACUUUGACAACAUAUGAAUACGAGACUACUAGGAAGUACUCUGAAGAAUUUGUAAACCAUUACUAGAAAAACUAGGAAGUACUAUUGCUGUGACAGGGAGUCAAGCAUUAUGAUUUGCUUUCCGUGUUUUGCGUGAAAAUUUACAAAAUUGCCCUGCACUUAAUUUGGAAGUUAAAAAACCGCAUUUUAUCCAUACUUUAUUGGUACAAAAAUCGUGUAGUAGUGCCAGUUUUAAGCAAAAUUAAAUUUAAAUUGUCAACAAUA